GGACGAACGCUGGCGGCGUGCUUAACACAUGCAAGUCGAACGGAAAGGCCCUGCUUGCAGGGUACUCGAGUGGCGAACGGGUGAGUAACACGUGGGUGAUCUGCCCUGCACUUCGGGAUAAGCUUGGGAAACUGGGUCUAAUACCGGAUAGGAGCCAUCUUUAGUGUGGUGGUUGGAAAGUUUUUUCGGUGUAGGAUGAGCUCGCGGCCUAUCAGCUUGUUGGUGGGGUAAUGGCCUACCAAGGCGGCGACGGGUAGCCGGCCUGAGAGGGUGUACGGCCACAUUGGGACUGAGAUACGGCCCAGACUCCUACGGGAGGCAGCAGUGGGGAAUAUUGCACAAUGGGCGCAAGCCUGAUGCAGCGACGCCGCGUGGGGGAUGAAGGCCUUCGGGUUGUAAACUCCUUUCGCUAGGGACGAAGCUUUUUGUGACGGUACCUAGAUAAGAAGCACCGGCUAACUACGUG
This 466-nucleotide ribosomal RNA is filed under the name uncultured bacterium. RNAcentral describes it as "partial 16S ribosomal RNA". It matches the Rfam family "Bacterial small subunit ribosomal RNA", at positions 27 to 507 of the family's 1533-position model. The record is from RNAcentral.